Molecule: ribosomal RNA, 433 nt
Filed under: uncultured bacterium
Lineage: Bacteria
Description: partial 16S ribosomal RNA
Rfam family: Bacterial small subunit ribosomal RNA
Source: RNAcentral
AACGAACGCUGGCGGCAUGCCUAACACAUGCAAGUCGAACGAGACCUUCGGGUCUAGUGGCGCACGGGUGCGUAACGCGUGGGAAUCUGCCCUUGGGUUCGGAAUAACAGUUGGAAACGACUGCUAAUACCGGAUGAUGACGUAAGUCCAAAGAUUUGUCGCCCAGGGAUGAGCCCGCGUAGGAUUAGCUAGUUGGUGGGGUAAAGGCCUACCAAGGCGACGAUCCUUAGCUGGUCUGAGAGGAUGAUCAGCCACACUGGGACUGAGACACGGCCCAGAAUCCUGCGGGAGGCAGCAGUGGGGAAUAUUGGACAAUGGGCGGAAGCCUGAUCCAGCAAUGCCGCGUGAGUGAUGAAGGCCUUAGGGUUGUAAAGCUCUUUUACCCGGGAUGAUAAUGACAGUACCGGGAGAAUAAGCCCCGGCUAACUCCGUG